GAAGGCCCCACUGUCUUAAGAGAAUUCCCAGUGAAAUUGAAUUCGUAGUGAAGAUGCUACGUCCAAUUUGUUAGACGAAAAGACCCCAUUGAGCUUUACUGGAGACUUACAUUGCUCGGAUCGACUCUCGCCCCCAGGGGGGGGGUCGAAUUUAAAUGGAUAGCUUAAAUUAUGUGGUGUCAUAACCAUCGAUCAAGUAGUCCCUACGGGAUUGCCCCGAAGGUAGACCUGUUUGGGUGAAUGAAACCCCACUCUUUUAUGUUAAAUGAGCUAACCCUUUCUCUCUUAAGGGGGACAAUGUAAGUUGGACAGUUUGGUUGGGGCGACCGCCUUUUAAAGAGUAACGAAGGUGUGCUUAAGGUACACAAUUAAUAUCAGUAGCCUGACUGCGAGGGGGAUUCCCCCGAGCAGACACCUAAAGUCUUCUCUCUUCCUCCCCGAAGGUUAAAGACGAAUGGUGGGUUAUAGUGACCCGUUAAUUUAGAGUGGAAUAGUUAACGAUCAACAAAUAAAA
RNAcentral lists this ribosomal RNA (514 nucleotides) under Epizoanthus illoricatus. RNAcentral's name for it is "partial 16S ribosomal RNA". It matches the Rfam family "Bacterial large subunit ribosomal RNA", at positions 2006 to 2461 of the family's 2925-position model. Lineage: Eukaryota; Metazoa; Cnidaria; Anthozoa; Zoantharia; Epizoanthidae. The record is from RNAcentral.